This 738-nucleotide ribosomal RNA is filed under the name Triticum aestivum (bread wheat). RNAcentral's name for it is "partial small subunit ribosomal RNA". The record is from RNAcentral. Lineage: Eukaryota; Viridiplantae; Streptophyta; Magnoliopsida; Poales; Poaceae.
AUGGGGAUGAGGUUGGAAGACCCAACAGCGUCGGUGAAAAAACAUGCUUUUAAUGCUUCAAGCAUACUAUUGCAGACUUGGAGUGAAAUGUUCCUGCACAUGCUCUUUUCUCUAAGAAGGCAUAUUUCCUUGCUUGACGAAGGUUGCAUCUCUACAUGGAAGCAACGGACCUGCUGUGGUAGUAGUAGAGCGGCCGGUGACGCCGUGGAAGGGAGAGGAGUGGCCGAUGACGCCGUGGAGAGGAGGGAACACGGAGGUGUGAGAGCAAGGUGCGUGGGAGGCAACAAUGAGAAGCCGUGGUGGGCAGAGCAGCCGCGGAAUGAGUUGUGGGUCGUUGAAAAGGAAUUUCUAGACAAGGGUCCCAAGGAAAUGUUGUUGGACUCGGCCAUAAAUUCACCCGAUCCUGCCCCAAUCACUAUCAUGCCCACGGACCAACGUGAAUUACUUGCCGGCCUUUGCAACUGCAUCAUGCCGGUCGAUGAUGUUGGGUGUUUGGACCUAUGGACAAUGAUUACUUCAACACCGCCGUGUGCCGCCGUGUGUAUACUGGCAUGUGACGAUGGAGUAUUGUUCACAGACCCUCCUAUACACUACAUGGAUCUAAGAUUUUGUUCCAUGAUGCUAGAGUCAACACGAGGUCAGAAGUUUUGCGAGAAGGAAACUAUCCAGACGUUGGCAACAUUAUUUGAUAGCUGGCCUGGGAUGGACAAGACCAUCUCAUCGUGCAACAUGCUCUAG